This 1413-nucleotide ribosomal RNA is filed under the name Triticum aestivum (bread wheat). Its description in RNAcentral is "partial small subunit ribosomal RNA". Lineage: Eukaryota; Viridiplantae; Streptophyta; Magnoliopsida; Poales; Poaceae. The record is from RNAcentral.
AUGGAGCGGAAGCGCAAGGAGGCGGAGAGGGACGUGGAGCGGGCGGGGGCGGAGCCUGUGAGCCCGGCGGGGCGGCUGUUCCGGGAGGCGCACUUCAACUGCUACAUCGUGGCCCUGCUGGGCCUCGGCGCGCCGGUGGACGUGGCGGCGGCCCGCGCCGGGUUGGAGGCCACGCUCGUCCGCCACCCCCGCUUCUGCAGCGUCCAGGUGUCGGACGACGUGAAGAAGAACGCGAAGCCACGGUGGGUGCGGACCACGGUGAACCUGGACGACCACGUCAUCUUCCCGGACCUGGACCCGGCCGCCACGUCGGCCGACCCGGACCGUGCCCUGGAGGACUACGUGUCCUCCCUGUCCACGCGGCCAAUGGACCACUCCCGCCCGCUCUGGGAGUUCCACGUCAUCGACUUCCCGACCUCCGAGGCGGCCGGCGCCGUCGCCAUCCGCAUGCACCACUCGCUCGGCGACGGCGUCUCGCUCAUCUCGCUCCUCACCGCCUGCACCCGCAGCGCCGCCGACCCGGCCAGGCUGCCCGCGCUGCCGUCGCCCCCGCCGCCGCGCCGCUCCGCCCCGCCGCUCUCGGCCGGCGCCCUCGCGCUCGCCGCGUGGGCCUGGUCGCUCGUCGCGCUCGCGUGGAACACGCUGGUGGACGUGGCGCUCUUCGUGGCCACGUCGUGGUUCCUGCGCGACGCGCCCACGCCGUUCCUCGGGUCCCCCGGCGUCGAGUUCCGCCGCAAGCGCUUCCUCAACUGCACCCUCGACCUCGACGACGUCAAGCUCGUCAAGAACGCCAUGAAGUGUACUGUGAACGAUGUGCUUGUCGGAGUGACCUCUGCGGCGCUGUCGCGCUAUUAUUUCCGCAAGAUCGGCGAGACCAGCAGCGACAAGAGAAAGACGCGGAAGAACAUCCGCAUGCGAUCGGCGUUGCUCGUCAACAUCCGGAAAACACCCGGCCUGCAUACAUUGACGCAGAUGAUGGAUCCUAGUAAGGACAAUGCUGUCAAAUGGGGGAACCAGAUCGGUUACAUUGUGCUCCCGUUCCAUAUAGCGAUGCACGACGAUCCUCUCGAGUACAUCCGGCAGGGGAAGAAGACAGCGGACAGGAAGAAGAGAUCUUUGGAAGCGGUCUUCACAUAUUGGAGUGGAAAUCUAGUGGUGAAACUCCUCGGCAUUAAGCCGCGGCUCUCUGCUAUGGCAUGUUCACUAACACCACCAUGUCAUCCGAUCGUCUACAUUGCCACAAGUGUCUACGGGCAUCCACAUGCUUUAACCGUGCAUUUUCAAAGUUACAUGAACAUCAUGAAGCUUGUCCUUGCGGUGGACGAUGAACAAUUCCCGGACUCUCAUCAACUAUUGGAUGACUUUGCUGAGUCCCUCAGGCUUGUUCGUCAGGCAGCUUCAGAAAGAUCGUAG